Molecule: ribosomal RNA, 120 nt
Filed under: uncultured bacterium
Lineage: Bacteria
Description: partial 16S ribosomal RNA
Rfam family: Bacterial small subunit ribosomal RNA
Source: RNAcentral
AACGAACGCUGGCGGCGUGCCUAACACAUGCAAGUCGUGCGAGAAAAGGGGGGCAACCCCCUGAGUAAAGCGGCGCACGGGUGAGUAACACGUAGGUAAUCUACCCUCGAGUCCAGGAUA